RNAcentral lists this long non-coding RNA (3174 nucleotides) under Patiria miniata (bat star). RNAcentral's name for it is "uncharacterized LOC119733408". The record is from RNAcentral. Lineage: Eukaryota; Metazoa; Echinodermata; Asteroidea; Valvatida; Asterinidae.
CCCGACCAGCAUCCAGCCUUUUUGUGUGAGAAGUGCGCUAGGAAGUUACGACACUUCACUGGCGGCACCCGUGACAUCGAUGUCCACAAAUUGCUCUUAAACCAAAAAGUGCAAUGGGACUGGCCUCCACACGAAAGCACAGGUGGAUGCUUUGUGUGCAGGCUGGUGACAACUCAGGGGAAAGGGGGUGGAAGCCACAAGAGAAGGCCACAAUACUUCUCAUCGGGAGGGCCUUUCCAAAGUGCGGUGCAAGACACAGAAUGAAGACGCUGCCUUUGUGUGUUGGAUCAUUUUGAACAUCUAAAAUUUAUUUUUGCGGUAAUUAUUUUCCCCCGGAGUUCGCGACUACUGGAUCGCUGGUUCACGGAUCGAGCUUCUUCAUGCAAACUGACACGCGGGUACCAGGCGGCCUAGCCCUGAGCGUGCGAUGUAAACUGUGAACAUCUUUUUUUGGAUUAAGUUUUUGGAGUUCCGGUGGACCAAACAACCCCACAUUCUUGUCACUUACUUCAUCAUGGACUUCAGAUUUCAUCAAGAAUCACUGGGAAAAAUUUGUAGAAUUUGUACAGAAAGGCUGCAUCCGGGAUCGAAAAACCCGAAACAAAAAUCCUCACUUUCCUGCAGCAGCGUUCGCUGGGAAGUAUUUAGUUUAUUUCGGGUCAAUACGUGGAACGAUAAACCUGACCAGCAUCCAGCCUUUCUGUGUGAGAAAUGCGCAAGAAAGUUACGACACUUUACUAAAGGCACACGGGACAUCGAUGUCCAUAAAUUGCUCUUGAACCAAAAAGUGCAAUGGGAUUGGCCGCCACAUGGUACCGGUAGUACAUGUUUUGUGUGCCAGCUGGUGACAACUCAGGGGAAGGGGGGCCGAGCACGCAAGAAGAGACGGUCUUCUCAUUUUCAUUCAGGACGAGCUUCGUCAAGUACGGUGCAAGACACGGAGUGAAGACACUGCCUGUUGUGUUGGAUUACUCUGAAUUUAAACACUUGAUAUAAAAAAAAAAAAUUUUGAACAUCUAGAAUUACACGGAUAAAAACAUUUUCCCUGCAGUUCGCGAUUACUGGAUCGCUGGUUCACGGUUCGAACUUCUGACGCGUGGGUACCAACCGGCCAAGCCCUGAUGAGCGCGCGAUAAACUUGACAAAGUUUUUGGAGUUUCGGUGGACAAUCAUUUACUUCAUCAUGGAUUUCCGAUUUCAUCAAGAAUCGCUGGGGAAAAUUUGUAGGAUUUGUACAGAGAGGCUGCAUCCGAGAGUGGUAAAACCAAAACGAAAACCACUCCCCUGCAGCAGCGUUCGUUGGGAAAUUUUCAGUUUAUUUCGAGUCAGUACGUGGAACGAUAAACCCGAUCAGCAUCCAGCGUUCCUAUGUGAAAGAUGUUCCAGAAACAUUCGACAUUUGACGGGAGGCACUCGGGAAAUGGAUGUCCACAAAUUACUCGUGAACCAAAAAGUGCAAUGGGACUGGCCUCCGCACCAAAGCACGGGUGAAUGUUUUGUGUGUGAACUGGUGAAAACUCAGGGGAAAGGGGGUAGAGGCCGCAAGAUAAGACGAAAAUACUUCUCAUCAGGAUCAGGAGGAGCGUCUCAAAAUACGGUGCAAGACACAGAAUGAAGACACCUGUUGUGUUGGAUCAUUUUGAACAUCUUGAAUUUAUACACUGAUAAAAAAACAUUGUUGAACAUCUCGAUGGACAUGCAUGAUGGAGCAUACAUAGCUGAAGCCAGCCAAGUUUGGUUGAACUUUUAAACCAUUCAUGGCUUCCUCAAUCCUUCAAAAUCCUCCAUGUGGUUUUGGAGGAUUUGGGAUGCAUGCUGGAGGAUUGAGGCUGUAUGAAUGGCAAAAACAAAGGGUGCAUGAGUCGAUUUUGGAGGAUGCAUUGUGCCGAGUUCAGAGGCUGUAUCCACCAUUGUCUAUAUUCAGCCAUUAUUGUUGGAGGAUUUUGUAGGAAAAUGAAGGAUCGAGGCAAUAAUGGUCAAUGAGGCCCCUCCCUCCACCAUGUCCACUGAACAAAUACUGCAGCCGAUGAUUUUGGAGGAUUACUCCGAUCCAAUUGAAUCCAAUUUUACAUGCUGGCAAUUGAAGGAUUUUGUAUGGUUCCUGACCGAAAGGGCCUAAUCAGUGACGGCCAUUAUUGUUGGAGGAUUUUGUAGGAAAAUGAAGGAUCGAGGCAAUAAUGGUCAAUGAGGCCCCUCCACCACGUCCACUGAACAAAUACUGCAGCUGAUGAUUUUGGAGGAUUACUCCGAUCCAAUUGAAUCCAAUUUUACAUGCUGGCAAUUGAAGGAUUUUGUAUGGUUCCUGACCGAAAGGGCCUAAUCAGUGACGGCAGGAAGGAGGGGGGGGGGGGGGCUAUUUUCAUUUGUUCAAUCUGUUGAUUUAUCAAGGAGGCUGUUGCUAUGGACUUGGGUCAAGCUUCAAGCCACAAUCACCGGGCAUUACAACUGGUCGUCGGCCUUCAUAUUAUUAUACAACACCUAAUGACAACGAAACCAUCUGCAGUGCAUCUCUUGGCCCGAAGCAUGCAAAGACAGCCUUUGUACUACUGGCCUCUCACUUAUCAUGAUGCGAGACUGACAUCUAGCAUGGACUCAGCUCAGGAAAUCAGGAAGAUGGGAUACCUGAAUGUCCAGAACUGCAUACCAAGGAUGCCUUGAGGAAGCUGCAGGAACUCCUGCUCAAGGGUAUCUUCAAGGAGAAAUCAAAGAACUUGAGUUCAACAGCCACAAGGUUGAUGGAAUAAGGGUUUUUCAACUGAAUCUGUACUCUUCGCCUUUGUUGGGGACCUCAGAGAGAUGGUGUCUACUUGAAUCCACAGCAAUGAUGCAUCCGGGACUUGAUAGCGGCAUACAGACCACCCCUCCCACCUUAGACUUGGUCAAGAUGAUCGGCGGUCAUUGUCCAAUGAUUGAAGGUUGGCCACUGUUCACUGCAGCCACGCGCUAUGACUCACACAUACGUACAUACAUACAUGUACUGUUAGUCUGUAUGAAGCGAGAACAACGACCUCAAGCAGCUUGCUACAAUAUGCAAAUCAGGAAGUGCCAGAUACAUGUAAAUGCCUUGGAACAUCUGUGGCUUUAGCAUAUGUUUUUCUUACAGAGGUUGUGGAAUGCUCGAAAACAUUUCCGUCAUUUUUUGGGUGUAUGUAGCCUAAGGUGUGAUGAAAUAAA